This 1326-nucleotide long non-coding RNA is filed under the name Homo sapiens (human). RNAcentral's name for it is "non-protein coding lnc-DNALI1-3:2". The record is from RNAcentral. Lineage: Eukaryota; Metazoa; Chordata; Mammalia; Primates; Hominidae.
AACCUGAACGCGCGGCCAGAGCUCCCAGUUGGGUCCACCUCCGAAUAAAGAAGCUUCUUCCCAGGCCAGUGGCACAAGCUUAAGUUUGUCUUCUGAAUUUGUCUUCUAAGUCCUUCCAAAAGUUGCCGACCACACAGCAGCCAAAUAUCCGUUAGGAGGUGUCAUUCUCUUCCUUACAACUCCAGUGGCUUAUCAUCACUCUUAGAAUGAGAGGGAAGCAUUCUGGCGGGAGGCCCACCGCAGCUCCUUGAAGAAGACAGCCAGGCGAGGGCCAAGACUGGGUGCCAGGGGCCUUGGAACUGCCAAAAUGCCUCCCAUUUUAUGGACAGGCCUGGCUCACCCUGAAGACAUUCCAAGUAUUUAAUCAGCAGUCCAUGGUACAUAUUGGGUUGCAGAGGGAGCCCUCAGAAGCUGGACUUUUAGGAGACAAAACUCAGCCAGAGGAAGGAGCUGGCCUUCUACAUGGACCAGGCUGAUGCUCAACAGAUGGAAAAAGUGCAUCCCAAUAACAAGGAUCAAUAACCGAAGGCUGACAGCUGCAGAGACCUGGCCUGAGAGGCCCCUAAGGACUCAGUUCUGCCUCUUUCCCACACCAGACUGAGUCCAGCCAGGAAUCCAUCUCACCCACCUCCCUGCACCAAGCUCCGGGAGAGCGAACAAGCGAGGGAGGAACCAUUUUUCACAUACUUUCUCUUUCAAAAUGUAGCCCUGUUUCGCAAUUUCCUACUUAAGUUCUGGAAGGCUCUAGGGCAGAACCCAAGACACCUUCUCUAGCCACUGGCCUGGGUCUCUCGUCACCAAGAACCUGGUAGGCUAGCGGUGACGGAGAAAGGAAGGGGCCCAGAUUUACGAACUCUCCCACUGUCCCCAUCCAUGCCAGCUCACCCAAGGGUCUAUUUAGUGCAGGUCACUCUCUCUCUGUCUUUUUGUAGAGACAGGGUCUCAGUAUGUUGCCCAGACUGGUCUUGAACUCCUGGCCUCAAGCUGUCCUCCUGCCUCAGCCUCCCAAAGUGCUGGGAUUAGAGGCAUGAGCCGCCACGCCCGGCCUCACAUUCUUGAUGCUAAAGGAGCUUCAACCAAGCCUCCAGCCAAAACCUGUUUAUUGUUCCCCGUGUGUUGGCUUUCUCUUGGGAGAGCCAGAAGGUGCGCCACACCAAAGCAGGUGCACCCAACCCUGGUAUGCUCACGUCUCAGCAACCCCUGAGGACCUAAUCUUCAGAUCUUCUCUACUCCCCUAUAACUAGGCUUUUGUUCUGGCUCACUUUUACUGGCAGUACUAGACAGUAUUCCAGACCUUUUGCAAUGAAUCCAUUUAGUCCUUAAAAA